RNAcentral lists this unclassified non-coding RNA (142 nucleotides) under uncultured Saccharomycetales. RNAcentral's name for it is "sequence contains ITS1". Lineage: Eukaryota; Fungi; Ascomycota; Saccharomycetes. The record is from RNAcentral.
ACGAAGCCAUUUUUUGGCAUUAUUCUUUCAAUUCUGUGAACUUGAAAUUUGCUUUGGGUGGGAUGUUUUAUCGUCUCACCCAAAAUUUUAAACUCUUAACAUUUUAUUCAUGUCUGACUGAUUAAAAUAUAAAAAUUAAUCA